UAAGAGUUAGUUUAAGUAAAAAUUGUUGAUUGUUGAUCAAAAGAUUAUCUCUUA
Molecule: transfer RNA, 54 nt
Filed under: Cooperia oncophora
Lineage: Eukaryota; Metazoa; Nematoda; Chromadorea; Rhabditida; Trichostrongylidae
Description: tRNA-Asn
Source: RNAcentral